This 30-nucleotide non-coding RNA is filed under the name Mus musculus (house mouse). The record is from RNAcentral. Lineage: Eukaryota; Metazoa; Chordata; Mammalia; Rodentia; Muridae.
UGCCAAUGUGACUUGAAGCCUGGGCAUUGC